UCACGCUUAUUUGACCCUUUAGGGUGGAU
Molecule: small RNA, 29 nt
Filed under: Bombyx mori (domestic silkworm)
Lineage: Eukaryota; Metazoa; Arthropoda; Insecta; Lepidoptera; Bombycidae
Description: ovarian small RNA-25286
Source: RNAcentral